GUUGUUGUGGCGCGUGCUCUUCUUGGCUUAGUUGCUGUUGCUGACUGCCUUCACUUGUUGCACACGCCCGCUGCGGACACUGGCAGCAGGCAAUAGACGAAGGAGAUGUCUGCUUCAGGGCAAGAUAAAUCUGAACAACAGCGGAUAUGUGGCAUAAGGAUGGAGAUAAGGAAGAUGCAACAUUGUAAAUCACCUACGGGAGGUUCAUAUUGCUCGGAAGUUUUAGCACCUUUGGAUUUACCCAUUCUCAAUAUCCACUGACUUCCUGAUGCUAAAUUGCAAUCUACAUUUCCAACAUAUUUCAUUUAUUCAAAUUAAACCUAAAAUUAACAUUUUCCAGCCACUUGAAACACUUGAAUAAAAACACAAUUUACCAUGCACGGCGACACCCGAAGGUCGAUCACACACAACAGCUCAAUAAAAAGAUCGUGCAAUCAGCGGAUAAAUCCAUAAGCUAAUUUGCGAGAAAGUAAGUCUAUCUAAAAAAAAGCAGGCAAA
Long non-coding RNA from Drosophila guanche, 498 nucleotides. RefSeq lists it as uncharacterized. The transcript is spliced from 3 exons. Lineage: Eukaryota; Metazoa; Arthropoda; Insecta; Diptera; Drosophilidae. The record is from RefSeq and is a predicted model, not a curated record.